Aedes albopictus (Asian tiger mosquito) is the source of this 659-nucleotide long non-coding RNA. RefSeq lists it as uncharacterized. Lineage: Eukaryota; Metazoa; Arthropoda; Insecta; Diptera; Culicidae. The record is from RefSeq and is a predicted model, not a curated record. The transcript has 3 exons.
CAAGAGAAAUCGGCACUGAUGCACCACUGUAUCAAUCACCAACACCGUUUCAACAUCCAACAACCAUCCCUCGUCGAUUCAACCUACAAGAGACAAGCUCUGCAAGUGUUGGAAAUGUGCCAUAUUGCGACGACUUCCAACACGGUCAACCAUCGGACAGACACCGAUAAUUUAAGCUGUGCGUACGCAAAUCUGCUCUCAACGAUCAAAACCCAGAGAGGAGCGAGAAAUGCGUCGUCAACUACUAACCAAAAUCGACAAAAUACAAGAAUUCUAACCACCCCACUAACACAAACAAAUCCGACCAACCAAACACCACCAACUAUAAACACCCCACAGUAACCCCAAUCUGACGAACAAGAACAGAAGUGUUCCCAAAGUGCCAAGUGUUGCGACUCGAACGGUUAAACGUACCACCCACCCACCAUCUCAACCAGGGUGCUGGUUGGUCUAAUGUUACAAGUGCGGUGCCCGAACCCAAUGCAAACGACAUUCCACCGUGUGAUCAACACGAUCUUCACAAGUUGAUUCAUAUCGAGCCCUGAUGAAGAUCCCAACCAUAGGAUCGAAACGUAGGCAAUGAUUUAGAAUAAUCAACGCUUUUUCUGUGACUGAAAGCCGAAAACCUACCAAGUUUCCAUAGAUCCAGUCAGUCCCCG